GAUGAACGCUGGCGGCGUGCUUAACACAUGCAAGUCGAACGGAAAGGCCCAAGCUUGCUUGGGUCCUCGAGUGGCGAACGGGUGAGUAACACGUGGGUGAUCUGCCCUGCACUUCGGGAUAAGCCUGGGAAACUGGGUCUAAUACCGGAUAGGACCACAUUUUGGAUGGUGUGGUGGAAAGUUUUUCGGUGUGGGAUGAGCUCGCGGCCUAUCAGCUUGUUGGUGGGGUAAUGGCCUACCAAGGCGUCGACGGGUAGCCGGCCUGAGAGGGUGUACGGCCACAUUGGGACUGAGAUACGGCCCAGACUCCCACGGGAGGCAGCAGGGGGGAAUAUUGCACAAUGGGCGCAAGCCUGAGGCAGCGACGCCGCGUGGGGGAUGACGGCCUUCGGGUUGUAAACUCCUUUCGCUAGGGACGAAGCGUUUUUGUGACGGUACCUGGAGAAGAAGCACCGGCUAACUACGUG
RNAcentral lists this ribosomal RNA (467 nucleotides) under uncultured bacterium. Its description in RNAcentral is "partial 16S ribosomal RNA". It matches the Rfam family "Bacterial small subunit ribosomal RNA", at positions 28 to 507 of the family's 1533-position model. The record is from RNAcentral.